Molecule: microRNA precursor, 98 nt
Filed under: Heterocephalus glaber (naked mole-rat)
Lineage: Eukaryota; Metazoa; Chordata; Mammalia; Rodentia; Bathyergidae
Description: mir-544 microRNA precursor family
Rfam family: mir-544 microRNA precursor family
Source: Rfam by way of RNAcentral
AUUAUUUGGGGAUCCUGUUAAAAUGCAGAUUCAGAUUGAGCAGGGCUGGUAUGAGGCCUGUGAUUCUGUAUUUCUAACAAGUUCCCAGGUGAGGCUGA